RNAcentral lists this long non-coding RNA (535 nucleotides) under Vulpes vulpes (red fox). RNAcentral describes it as "lncRNA (ENSVVUG00000006842.1)". Lineage: Eukaryota; Metazoa; Chordata; Mammalia; Carnivora; Canidae. The record is from RNAcentral.
ACCUCCCCUGAGUGCUCAUGGGAGAUGGUGCUGCGCAUGCGCAAAAUCUCCAGGCCAGAAUCCACUGCGUCUGAUCUGCUGAGAGGGCGUGUGUGCUGUGUGAGGUGACCAGAGGGCGUGUGUGCUGUGUGAGGUGACCAAGUCCACGUAGCCCAAAGGAGAAUCUGUGUGAUACAGACUAACGAUGUCCUGUUUCAUUUGGAAGUCAAGGUUGGUGACACCUAAUUGCGUUUCUGCUGCAAGGAAUUUAAGGACAUCCUCCGUCUUCAUUUUCAAGAAGUCACAAGAAAGCACAUUUCAUGUGUUCAGCCCAAAACUACAUUUCCUAGUGACAUUGCAACCAAGAGUGAGCAAAGAGUUGAAGCAUAAAUCAGGUAAGUCUUCUGGAUAUUCUACAUUCUUCUUCCUUUUCCUGCUUAGAAUAAGGACAUGAAGUAGGGCUAUAGCAGGAAUCUUGGAGCCAGAGAACUUGAGAAUCAAAAUUAUUUGCUAAGGAUGAUGGUAACUUUGGAAGUGCCAAUUAGUCCUGGAUUGC